This is a non-coding RNA of Bactrocera oleae (olive fruit fly), 3128 nucleotides long. The record is from RefSeq and is a predicted model, not a curated record. Lineage: Eukaryota; Metazoa; Arthropoda; Insecta; Diptera; Tephritidae.
GUAUAUAUAAUAUGAAAUGCGUCUAAAAGGUUUUAUGUCACUUCAGGUCGACAUAAAAUAAUAACAAUAACCGAUAUACAAGUACAGCUUUAGGGAGCAAUCGAUAUAAUUCGAUAAUUAUAUUUCAAAUACUUCAAAUAAAAAAAUUAUGUGCAUUAGAAAUUUUUUCCAUUACGUUCUUCAAAAUAUAAUGCUUAUUUUGUUAUCUCUAGUAGAGAUAUUGGGAAAAAGAAGUGAAUGAAAAACAUGAAACCUUUGGAGCGAAACGCUAGCGGAACUAUUGCUGGAGUUAUGAUAGAAAGAAAAUUACCUGUUAAAAACUUCGAAAAAUUGUCAUAUAUUAAAUCAAAAUUCACAAUUAUGCGUAUUUAUUUAUUUAGGUGUCGUAGUGUUUUAAAAACGAAUAAUAUCUGCAAAAUUUGUUAAUGCAAAUAUGUUAAACAGCAAUCACUGUAUACAGAGAUUAGGAAGACUGGCCGUGAAAAUAUCCCGUGGUGCUACUUCUAAUCACUAGCCACGACCUAUUGUUCCCACUCCAGUCGGGUCUACGUAACCGGAAGGGACCCUGAUUUUUAUCCGACCAAGGACUUUCAACUCUGCAGAAUUCUGACGCUACAACUACAACAAUAACCUAUAGCCGUACUGGCGUAGACAGCACUUACGCGGGUAUAGCCGAGUUAACAACCGCGCGCUACUCGUUUUUUUUCUUCGCUAUUCGGCGCCAAUUGGAGAUAUCAAGUUCCUGGUCCUUUACCACCUGAUCUCUACAACGGAGUUGCUUCCACCGGCGGGUACUGAAUCAAAUACUUUCAAAGCGGGAUCAUUCUCAUCCGGACAACAUGACCUAGCCAACGUAGCCGCUGUCUCUUAAUUCGCUGAACAAAGUAUAUCUCAUACAGCUCAUCGUUCCAUUGACUUUAUGUAAAUUUAUUUAUUUUUUCUGAUGCUACAACAACAACCUAUAGCAUAUGUACAAUUAAUCAAAGAUUGCAUAUUAUUAAAAUAAAACUAAGCAAUAACAACACAAAAUCACAAAGUUAAAUACGAAUAGCCUUAUUGUGAGUCUCCAGACUGUAAUGCAACUAAGUAAUCAGUUGCAAUAGUUAAUUUGCAUAGUCUAUUCCGCAAUAUGUGCAUGCAUAUUAAUCAUAGUAGUGUCCGAGGACAACAUCCCAAACACAACCAUUUUUCAUUUACACUAACUAAGCAAAUGUAUUUUUUAUUUAAAUUUCAGUUUAUUUUAAUUAUAAUUACAGAUUUAAAUAUGAGUUGAGAUGUUUUAAAUUUUUAUUUCUUUUACGUUACAUCCACCGUUCCCAUUUUUUUCUGAUUUCAUACUAUUUAUUAUAUUUAGGUAUUCAGCUGUUUUUACAUUUAAUUUUGGCUUCUAAACACAAUUGCGUAUUGUUAAUCAGAUGUAAAAAUAAAACACAUUACACAUACACCUCUCCUGAGUCCAGGAUCCCCGUAUUAUAACUAAAAUUGUAUUUCUAUUUUAUUUCUGCAUUCAAUGCUAGAAAAUAUGGAAAUAUUAUGAUUUGAAUGCGUUAUUGAGGGUAUCAGAGAGUGAUUGUAAUAAUACAAAUGAUAGUUAAAGUAAAAAAAAAUGACAUUAUAGCAAUAAUGGAAGAAGGAAGGAUAAAGUACGUUUUAUCUAUUUUUAUUUCUAUUAUAAAUUUUAUUAAAUCAGUUCUAAGAUUUGAAAUAAUACCGAAAAUAAUAAUAGGAGGAAAAGGAUUACAAAAUAUAUCCACGGCAGGUUUGCGGCAUUACAUAGGUACAUAUGCUGCACUGUAGAAUCCAAAGGAAAAUUAACAAAUACAGCGUAAAUUUUGUAGGCGGUACUUUCGAGUACGGGUAAAUACGAACGACACAAUACUCAAUAUUUCUUCAAAACAUACAAAAAUACGUUUAAAAAUGUUUAAAGCUCAAUUUAAUACAGUAUAACUUUAAAUAAAAAAUAAAACAAAAUAAAAAAAAAAAAACAAUUAACAUACGUGUAUGAAACAAUAAUUGAAAAUAUAUAUUUCAAUUAUUUUAUAAAAAUGACAAAAUAGGAUUACGUAAAACAUUAUAUAUUAUAAGUUUAGGAGUCACUGAUGCUUCUAAAUAUAUUUUUGUAUUAUUUCGUCUUCGUUAAUAAUUCUGUAUGAGCUUUAAAUAGGAUACACUCAAUAUAUAAGUAUUCUUUGUUCAUAAAUGUAUAGAAGUUAACAUAUAAAGUAAAUUUAUUAUAAUUUUAUCAUACAAAGAAAUAUAUUCUACACAAGCUAGUGUACGCAAUAAAAUGUAAAUUGCAAUUAUAACCAGUUUUAACUCAUAGGUAUGUUUUCUUUAAAUAAAUAACAUUAGAUAGAAUAAAAAUAAAUGUGUGCGUUUUAUUUGACAAUAUUUUAAAUAUAUUUUUUGCGAUUGUUUUCAGUGUUAUGUGUGCGUUUGUAAAAGUUGAGUAAAUAUUAAAUUUUUGGUAAAAUCGGUUGAAUAAUUUAUUAAAUUGCUUAGCAUUUAUGCCACAGUGUUUGUACAAUUUGUUAUGUUAUAUCUUAAAAUAGGUAAUUUUUUUGUGCUUAAAAGUCGAUUUGUAGCUCAUACCAAAGUUUUUCAUAUGUAUACAUGAAUGAUUGAAAACGAGUCAAGUAACUGAAUUGGGCAACGAAAUACGUAAAGAGAAUAGAUACAUAACAAAAUCUAAAUCGUAUGUAUUACUACUGUACCCUUUUGCCUAUAUUUAAAGUUUUGAAAUAAUAAAAUGCAAUACGGUACUUGCGCCAAGUGCAACUACUUUGUACGUAUAUGUAUGUUUUGUAUUUAUGUAUGUAUGUGGUUCAGUGUAGCAAUUUUAUGAACACAUCAAAGUAUGUCAGCACAAGUACGGGGACUAAAAAUUUUGAAAAUUUUUUAAAGACGCAUUUCCAUAUGGUAGAUAUAAAUGUUUUUCAUGUUAAGUGAAAUCCUAACUUCUUAUAAAGAUGUGGUAACAUUACAUUAUUGACAUGUGACCAUGCUGUUGUUUUGACAAAGGUUUCGCACGUUUAAUGUUUCAUCUUCAAUUUUCAAUUUUAUAUUUGCCGUUUCUGCAUCCCCUACAUUUACAAAUCACAGCAAGCCCAAACAAAAAAAAAAAAAAA